Molecule: ribosomal RNA, 484 nt
Filed under: uncultured bacterium
Lineage: Bacteria
Description: partial 16S ribosomal RNA
Rfam family: Bacterial small subunit ribosomal RNA
Source: RNAcentral
GACGAACGCUGGCGGCGUGCUUAACACAUGCAAGUCGAACGAUGAAGCCGGAGCUUGCUCUGGUGAAUUAGUGGCGAACGGGUGAGUAACACGUGAGUAACCUGCCCUUGACUCUGGGAUAACUGCUAGAAAUGGUAGCUAAUACCGGAUACGACCCUCGGCGGCAUCGCCAGGGGGUGGAAAGAAUUUCGGUAAAGGAUGGACUCGCGGCCUAUCAGCUAGUUGGUGAGGUAACGGCUCACCAAGGCGACGACGGGUAGCCGGCCUGAGAGGGUGACCGGCCACACUGGGACUGAGACACGGCCCAGACUCCUACGGGAGGCAGCAGUGGGGAAUAUUGCACAAUGGGCGCAAGCCUGAUGCAGCAACGCCGAGUGAGGGAUGACGGCCUUCGGGUUGUAAACCUCUUUUAGUAGGGAAGAAGCGAAAGUGACGGUACCUGCAGAAAAAGCACCGGCUAACUACGUGCCAGCAGCCGCCGUAA